RNAcentral lists this long non-coding RNA (631 nucleotides) under Pongo abelii (Sumatran orangutan). RNAcentral describes it as "lncRNA (ENSPPYG00000035376.1)". Lineage: Eukaryota; Metazoa; Chordata; Mammalia; Primates; Hominidae. The record is from RNAcentral.
GACUGCUGGGCAUGCAUGAAGUUAAGGGCAAGAAACAGUAUGCCAUGUGUUCUGUACCAUCAUGUGUCUCUUCUUGCUUCUGGGCCCUUCUACUGGUGAACUUUAAUCAAGAUCUGCGCCAUGCCGUGUCACUGUCAAGCCAUUAAGUUUUGUCUGGGUUGCUGUCAGCCCCAGUUGGCUUCGUGGUCAACAAGGACCUCAAGAACUGCCUGUGGACCGAGGCCCCCUACCAGUGCAUGAGACACACACCUACCCUCCCCAGCUUUCCAGGAACCCUACUGGCUGCCAGACUGAUGGGCGGGCUGGUAUGUGUGGACAUGUGUUCACUCUCUUUAUGCUGUGGUUCCAGAUGGAAGCUAAGGCAGAAACAUGAAGAGCAUGUGGAUUGGACAAUAAAAGUGGGAAGAAGACAAUGGGGAAUACACGUGUUUGGGCAAGGGGGUCACCCAACAAAGAGAGGUGCUCUGUUAAUUUUGGGGGAGAAACACUGAAUGCCAAGCAGGAGACAACCAAAAAUAAACUUCACUGCCUUCUCAGUUUUACCAAAGACUAAUAAGGCUUCUGGGGAUCUUCAGAGAUAGCGUGUAUAAGACCCCUCUGGGUUAUAUUCGACACCCCAGGUAUUAAUCCC